This 67-nucleotide transfer RNA is filed under the name Anolis lososi (Lososs anole). RNAcentral's name for it is "tRNA-Ala". The record is from RNAcentral. Lineage: Eukaryota; Metazoa; Chordata; Lepidosauria; Squamata; Anolidae.
AGACUUGUAAAACAUUAUAUACAUCUUUUGAAUGCAACUCAAACACUUUAAUUAAGCUAAAGCCUCC